GGUCAUUACUGAUGAUCAAAGUUAUUGCUGUACAAUCCUCUCAAUUUUGAUUUUAGGCAAUGCUAAUUUGUAUCUGUUGCUUGGAUUUGUGUUUGGGGGUACCCCUGGCGAUGUGAUUUUAGCUGUGGACUUGCAGAAAGCUUCUCAAAAAUGAUGUUGUUAGUUGUGUGCUCUGUGAACAUUUAUAGUGUAUUAGUGAUGGGCACCAAGUUUGACUACAGCAUGGACUAAUGUUCAUUUUUGGAUUCUUCUGGAAUUAUUGAAUUCAUCUUUCGUAACGAUGUCUGCCGCAAAAUUGUAUGCAACAUCAUCUUUAUACUGAACUUUCCGUUCGUGCCUAAAUGACAUGGGGAAAUGCUCCAUCUCUUUGGAUCUCAUGAAAAAGAAAAUUAUGUUCUCCCAUUAUUUGUCCAUCUUUUCCCCAGCAUGAUUUCCGUGUGAACUACUGAAUUCACUGGUCAGUAUUUGGCAUUAUGAACCAAGAUUCCUCCAAAACUUAAACUGAAAAUUUAUGCUUGUGAUGAUUUAAAAUUGCAGACAUCUCAUUUUCAAAAAAAUAAAUAUAAAAAAUCAUUUUCAAAAAAUAAAAUUGCAGACAUCUCAAAUCAUAUGUGCAGAUCAACAUCCGGAGCCUAGCUUAUGGUGUCUUCUAAUUCAUGCUUGUACACAAUAUUUUCUGGACACAUCUCUUUGAGCAAAUUCUUGUAUACGCCCAUGCCUCUG
This 723-nucleotide long non-coding RNA is filed under the name Solanum tuberosum (potato). RNAcentral's name for it is "long non-coding RNA (STUB_LNC002409)". Lineage: Eukaryota; Viridiplantae; Streptophyta; Magnoliopsida; Solanales; Solanaceae. The record is from RNAcentral.